Molecule: ribosomal RNA, 167 nt
Filed under: Gadus macrocephalus (Pacific cod)
Lineage: Eukaryota; Metazoa; Chordata; Actinopteri; Gadiformes; Gadidae
Description: partial small subunit ribosomal RNA
Source: RNAcentral
ACCGCGGUUAUACGAGAGGCCCGAAUUGAUGAAAAACGGCGUAAAGCGUGGUUAAGAAAAGAGAGAAAAUAUGGCCGAACAGCUUCAAAGCAGUUAUACGCAUCCGAAGUCACGAAGAACAAUCACGAAAGUUGCCCUAAAACCUCCGAUUCCACGAAAGCCAUAAA